Molecule: ribosomal RNA, 460 nt
Filed under: uncultured bacterium
Lineage: Bacteria
Description: partial 16S ribosomal RNA
Rfam family: Bacterial small subunit ribosomal RNA
Source: RNAcentral
CCUACGGGAGGCAGCAGUGAGGAAUAUUGGUCAAUGGGCGUAAGCCUGAACCAGCCAAGUCGCGUGAGGGAUGAAGGUUCUAUGGAUCGUAAACCUCUUUUAUCAGGGAAUAAAGUGCGGGACGUGUCCCGUUUUGUAUGUACCUUAUGAAUAAGGAUCGGCUAACUCCGUGCCAGCAGCCGCGGUAAUACGGAGGAUCCGAGCGUUAUCCGGAUUUAUUGGGUUUAAAGGGUGCGGAGGCGGCCUUUUAAGUCAGCGGUGAAAGUCUGUGGCUCAACCAUAGAAUUGCCGUUGAAACUGGGAGGCUUGAGUGUGUUUGAGGCAGGCGGAAUGCGUGGUGUAGCGGUGAAAUGCUUAGAUAUCACGAAGAACCCCGAUUGCGAAGGCAGCCUGCCAAGCCAUGACUGACGCUGAUGCACGAAAGCGUGGGUAUCAAACAGGAUUAGAUACCCGUGUAGUC